CCUACGGGUGGCAGCAGUGAGGAAUAUUGGUCAAUGGCCGGAAGGCUGAACCAGCCAUGCCGCGUGAAGGUCAGUGCCCUAUGGGCGUUAAACUUCUUUUGUGCGGGAGCAAUACUGGUCACGUGUGGCCAGACGAGAGUACCGUACGAAUAAGCAUCGGCUAACUCCGUGCCAGCAGCCGCGGUAAUACGGGGGAUGCAAGCGUUAUCCGGAUUUAUUGGGUUUAACGGGUGCGUAGGCUGGGAGGUAAGUCAGCGGUGAAAUGCCCCCGCUCAACGGGGUGAAGUGCCAUUGAUACGGCCUGGCUGGAAUGCGGAUGCCGUGGGAGGAAUGUGUGGUGUAGCGGUGAAAUGCAUAGAUAUCACACAGAACACCGAUUGCGAAGGCAUCUCACGAAUCCGCGAUUGACGCUGAUGCACGAAAGCGUGGGUAUCAAACAGGAUUAGAUACCCGUGUAGUC
RNAcentral lists this ribosomal RNA (460 nucleotides) under uncultured bacterium. RNAcentral's name for it is "partial 16S ribosomal RNA". It matches the Rfam family "Bacterial small subunit ribosomal RNA", at positions 338 to 795 of the family's 1533-position model. The record is from RNAcentral.